GGCGUGCCUAACACAUGCAAGUCGAGCGAUCUUCUUCGGAAGAGAGCGGCGGACGGGUGAGUAACGCGUGGGUAACCUGCCCUGUACACACGGAUAACAUACCGAAAGGUAUGCUAAUACGGGAUAACAUAAGAAAGUCGCAUGGCUUUCUUAUCAAAGCUUUUGCGGUACAGGAUGGACCCGCGUCUGAUUAGCUAGUUGGUAAGGUAACGGCUUACCAAGGCGACGAUCAGUAGCCGACCUGAGAGGGUGAUCGGCCACAUUGGAACUGAGACACGGUCCAAACUCCUACGGGAGGCAGCAGUGGGGAAUAUUGCACAAUGGGCGAAAGCCUGAUGCAGCAACGCCGCGUGAGCGAUGAAGGCCUUCGGGUCGUAAAGCUCUGUCCUCAAGGAAGAUAAUGACGGUACUUGAGGAGGAAGCCCCGGCUAACUACGUGCCAGCAGCCGCGGUAAUACGUAGGGGGCUAGCGUUAUCCGGAAUUACUGGGCGUAAAGGGUGCGUAGGCGGUCUUUCAAGUCAGAAGUGAAAGGCUACGGCUCAACCGUAGUAAGCUUUUGAAACUGUAAGACUUGAGUGCAGGAGAGGAGAGUGGAAUUCCUAGUGUAGCGGUGAAAUGCGUAGAUAUUAGGAGGAACACCAGUUGCGAAGGCGGCUCUCUGGACUGUAACUGACGCUGAGGCACGAAAGCGUGGGGAGCAAA
RNAcentral lists this ribosomal RNA (703 nucleotides) under uncultured Clostridium sp. RNAcentral describes it as "bacterial SSU rRNA". It matches the Rfam family "Bacterial small subunit ribosomal RNA", at positions 41 to 772 of the family's 1533-position model. The record is from RNAcentral. Lineage: Bacteria; Bacillati; Bacillota; Clostridia; Eubacteriales; Clostridiaceae.